This 636-nucleotide ribosomal RNA is filed under the name Talaromyces islandicus. RNAcentral's name for it is "eukaryotic LSU rRNA". The stretch from base 240 to 393 matches the Rfam family "5.8S ribosomal RNA". Lineage: Eukaryota; Fungi; Ascomycota; Eurotiomycetes; Eurotiales; Trichocomaceae. The record is from RNAcentral.
UGGAAGUAUAAAGUCGUAACAAGGUUUCCGUAGGUGAACCUGCGGAAGGAUCAUUACCGAGUGCGGGUUCGACACGAGCCCAACCUCCCACCCGUGUCUACCGUUACCGCGUUGCCUCGGCGGGCCCACUGGGGCCUGGCCCCGGUCGCCGGGGGGCUGCUGCCCCCGGGCCCGCGCCCGCCGAAGCGCCCUGGAACCCUGUNUGAAUAGUGAGUCUGAGUGCAUGAUUGAAUCAUUAAAACUUUCAACAACGGAUCUCUUGGUUCCGGCAUCGAUGAAGAACGCAGCGAAAUGCGAUAAGUAAUGUGAAUUGCAGAAUUCCGUGAAUCAUCGAAUCUUUGAACGCACAUUGCGCCCCCUGGCAUUCCGGGGGGCAUGCCUGUCCGAGCGUCAUUUCUGCCCUCCAGCGCGGCUGGGUGUUGGGCGCUGUCCCCCCGGGGACACGCCCCAAAGGCAGUGGCGGCGCCGCGUCGGGUCCUCGAGCGUAUGGGGCUCUGUCACCCGCUCGGGAGGGACUCGGUCGGCGCUGGUCUUCCCCCCCAGGCGGCCCUUCGGGGCUCGUCUCCUCCGGUUGACCUCGGAUCAGGUAGGGCUACCCGCUGAACUUAAGCAUAUCAAUAAGCAGAGGAACCCCGA